UACGUAGGGGGCAAGCGUUGUCCGGAUUUAUUGGGCGUAAAGAGCGUGUAGGCGGCUUUACAGGUCCGUUGUGAAAACUCGAGGCUCAACCUCGAGACGCCGGUGGAAACCGUAAAGCUAGAGUCCGGAAGAGGAGAGUGGAAUUCCUGGUGUAGCGGUGAAAUGCGCAGAUAUCGGGAGGAACACCGGUGGCGAAGGCGGUUCUCUGGGCCUUACCUGACGCUGAGGAGCGAAAGCGUGGGGAGCGAACAGG
Molecule: ribosomal RNA, 253 nt
Filed under: uncultured bacterium
Lineage: Bacteria
Description: partial 16S ribosomal RNA
Rfam family: Bacterial small subunit ribosomal RNA
Source: RNAcentral